UUUCUGAUUCAGUAUGUCUGGGUGGGGCCAGAGAGCACGCAGGUCUAACAAACACCCAGGUGAUACCUAUGAUCCCUGACCUGAGUA
Molecule: microRNA precursor, 87 nt
Filed under: Ovis aries (sheep)
Lineage: Eukaryota; Metazoa; Chordata; Mammalia; Artiodactyla; Bovidae
Description: miRNA (ENSOARG00000025051.1)
Source: RNAcentral